Molecule: ribosomal RNA, 258 nt
Filed under: uncultured bacterium
Lineage: Bacteria
Description: partial 16S ribosomal RNA
Rfam family: Bacterial small subunit ribosomal RNA
Source: RNAcentral
UAACGUAGGGCGCAAGCGUUGUCCGGAAUUAUUGGGCGUAAAAGAGCUCGUAGGCGGCUUGUCACGUCGGGUGUGAAAGCCCGGGGCUUAACCCCGGGUCUGCAUUCGAUACGGGCUAGCUAGAGUGUGGUAGGGGAGAGUCGGAAUUCCUGGUGUAGCGGUGAAAAUGCGCAGAUAUCAGGAGGAACACCGAUGGCGAAGGCAGGUCUCCUGGGCAUUAACUGACGCUGAGGAGCGAAAGCAUGGGGAGCGAACAGG